CGCCUCUUGGUCUACCUGUGUUAAGGUACUUACCCGCCUCAUGGUCUACCUGUGCUUAGGUACUUACCCGCCUCUUGGUCUACCUGUGCUGAGGCACUUACAAUUGGGGUGUUUGAUGGAGACGAAGUAUUGAUGGUCUUGUCUUAAGUUACGUCUAAAUAUUUCUGUACACUCAUGAAUGUUUACUGUUUAAUUUGACCUUUGCAAUUAUGACCCAAUUCUACUGAAAUGUGUCAAACGAAAAAAACUGCUUGAAAAUAUGUUUUAAAAAUAGAGAAAACCGGAUGAAAACAAUAUGUGAAGAACAUAUAGGCUCUCAAACGCCACCUCAACAUUUGAACAAAGCCGCUCUUUACCACAAUAAUAUUGAUUCCUUCCGCAAAACGUGACACAGACUUUGAUAGAAAAACUUAUUUGCGCCUAUAUUCGUACAUCCCACCAAAACGUCAGACCAACAAUAAACUAAAUUAUCUAUAAGUAUCGAAAAGUCAUGCUAUUUAGACCAGCAGUCUGCGUGUUUGUGCGAGGACGGAUUUGUUGUUGCCUUGUGUUUGUCUGAUCGUGUUCAAGAAAGUUAAAAAAAGCAGUCACUCUUGCUAGGUGAGAUGUUAAUACAGGGUUCAACUCCCGCGAUGGCACCUCACAAUUAUGGACACCACGCUUUACAGACAGAAACCGUCACCAAAUGAGACUUGAACACAAAAAGGGACUCAAAUCGUUAACAUUUUAGGACUACAGCAGGGUACCCUUGGUGCCCGUAAUAACGUGUUUAAUUAUUUUUUUACAAGUCUUAAUAGAUAACAAUCCUGAUCUGUUUAGACAUUGUUAUCUUUCAUAGCGGAAGACACAGCGGAAUAUCUGACACCUUCGGAAGGUUUUAUGGAGUUGUCCGCUUAAUGACGGAAGAAUUUGGUUUAAGGACUAUGGAAUUUGUCCGUUAAAUCGAGGUUGUUUGGCCCGUUGCGUUGCGGUUUUACUGUACAGAGAUCAAGGUGCCGCAAAAAGUUAGUUGUUUUGGAUUCUCUUAAUCGUGUAUUCUACAAGUUAAAAUAAAAAUAGAAAUCCACAAAAAUUUUAGAAGGAAAGAAAAAGUGAUCAAGAUUAAAAAAAAAAAAAAAAACAACAAGACAGUUUUAAACUUUAAAACUGUUUUUUUUUUCUUGGCUGAGCCGUCAGGUUCCAUCGACCACCAGUCGCUGUCGAUGACGCGCUAAGCCUAGAUAUUAUCAUCAGUUAUUCUAAGCUAGGCAAUCGUCUUUAAAAGGAACCUUACAGCUUGUUAUAUGUGGCUUCGUAGAUCGAAAAUGAGAUAACACUGAAAUUGAUUUACAUUGCCAUAAAGCAAACCUUCGACGACAUGGCCAUAACAGAAAAAUGCCAGUUAAUGUCGCUUUACGCGCGAAAAGGAAAAUCCCCGCUUUGCAACGCAAUGAAUACACUAAGCACGAUCAUGGCAGAAUAUAGAAACAAACACUUCUUGAUUGGUGCUUUCUAUUAUGCUGCAAUUUCGCCCUUUUUCUUGUAGUUUUUGGGUUUUGUUCAAAAGACCCGCAAUUUCGCGACAAAGCCGCUAUUAGAAUUUGCACAAGUAUUAUCUCAAUGAGAACAUCUGUUAUUUUAGUUAUAACAUGAAGAUAAUAACAUCCUUAUUGUAUGCGCUUGUGGUGGAAAAGAAUCUUAGGAAAUUUUACAGAAAAAAAAUAGGAUCGCGAAAGCGCGGUUUCUGCGGCGACAUGGAGACUAGAUAAAGAUGCCAUGGUUUUUGCCGCGUCCAUUGAAAGAAAUCGACACAGAUUAGAUUUUAAGACUAAGAUAACACAGGUAUUGUUGCAGAGUCUGUAAAUACUGCCCCGUACGGAUAGAUUGUACAGUCUUUGUAGUCGUAAACGGCGCUGCGUUCGUUUGUGGGUGGUCAAGUGCAUGACUGCGAAAUAUAGAGUAAGGCAUGAACAAGUUAUACUUUUUUUCGCUGGAUUUUCUAGGUCAUAAAAGCGUAUAAAGAGUAUAGGGGGUGGUAAGCUUUUACACGAGGUGAUAAAUAUGGAGUUCUAAAAAUCUCGAGUACACUAAUACAAUGAUAUUUAUUUAUUUCAGGUGCAAACUGUAAUAUCUGUAAUUUUCCUGGAAGUGUCACCUCGUAAACUUUGUACUCACAAAGAACAAUUUUGGUACAGCAAGUGGUUUUGAACAAAGGCAACUGAGGUGUAGAUAUAAUCGGGGGAAAUUAGUUUUCGGGCACAAACUUUUAAUCUUCUUUAUUUCUUUUACCUAACAAGCCCUGCCGUGCUAUUGUGUUUUGGGAAAGGUAAUGCAAACGAAAUAAAUGUCAAAAAGCCAAGUAUUAAUAGUUAAGAAUAUUUUACUUAAAAGCCAUCGACUGAUUUUGAGGCAGGAAAUUACUUUUUUUAAUUACUUUUACAUAGCUGUUAAUCCGUCUAAUUUUGUACAAUGAAAACUGCUUCUUUUUUAAGUAUCACUUCUCACAUUUGAACUAGCACUUCAGGAUAUUCAAAAGCUCGAGGUAUGCAACCGAUGUGAGCCAGGUUUGUUUAACCGGAUUAUUUAGGCCGCCCAGGGGUCUUGUAAAACGGCGGGUCAUACGGUUUGACGGUACAUAGAAUGUCAAAGAGCCCAUGUCCUGGGAUAAAACUCAUUUAUUUUGACCGUCUGUAGGAGCUGCACAGAAGCCUUGUUAUUACCACCGAAAAAAAUAGCAAGGUCUGGGCUAGAUCCUCAGAUCUAGUGGAAAUUGAAUUUUGUUUUGCAUUACCUACUAAAUUAAUAAUUACUUUGCAAUAACAACCUGAGGCAAAACAAUCAAGAAAAGAAAUCCAACCGAAUUCAAAAGCGAGAAGUGUUUUUAAAAUAAACAUUACUUAUAAUGCUCAUUUGACAAGUCUUUUAAAAUUUCAAACGAAAAAGAAGAUCGAUCUUCGGUUUCUUAUUGACAGGCGAACUUCAUUUUUAUCAACUGAUUUCUCCAGCCUUCCUCGCCCUGUAAACAGAUCGUACCGAUUGCACUCCCCCAAGCUUGAAACAACCCGAGACAUGAUGGAUAUUUUUAUCAAGAUUCUCGUUACCUGGUUGCCUUAACAAUCUUUCCAUAACCAUCGUCCCGAGUAAGCAAUUGAUAGUAGUAUAGAAUAAUUCGACUUAAAUAGAAAUCAGUAAAAACCAGUUAGGGGUAUCGGUGGGGUGUCGCCGCUCUUUGCAAUGUGAUAGGUCCAGAAUUACGAGGGAGAUUACCACCAAUGAAAAAACAAAUAAAAAAUGCAGCAGAAGUGUGGUGGGGGAAAUCACUCCUUUCUGCAUAUAAAGAUUACGAAGCGCGAUUUGUGUUGUGUUCCACAGACUGACUUGGCGACAAGAUGGAAGUCAUUGCUUCGAUUCUCCUGUUGGGCUUGAGUCUACAAGUAAACGCUAAUGAUGAUUUCAACACUAGCAAAGCUAUCGACAAACUGUUCAGUAAAGAAUCAUAUGACCGACGACUCAGGCCGCACAGACAGACGGGAAGACUGAUAAACGUCACGAUCGGGAUGACUGUGGUCUCAUUCGGACAAAUACGAGAAAGAGAUAUGGCAUGGAGAUAAACCACAUCAGACGUUGUGUCUCCGUCAUCUCUUGGCCACGCAUCGAUCCUCCCGUGGUUUUGACACUGCGCAUCAAAGCCUGCUCUAUUAAGUCCGUAAACAAUACAAACCAAUACCUGUCACUCUGGCAGCAAACCUGUGUCGCUUCUACUCUACACACAACACGUCUCGCCGUUGUACAUUUAAUUGCGCAGACAAAGAAUGCAACUGUUUGAAAUGGCUUUAUUCAUUAUACACUUUUACACCGAAUGGAGGUUGAUAAAUCCUAAAACAAAUAAUAAACCCAAAUGGCUUUGAAAA
Molecule: RNA transcript, 3890 nt
Organism: Nematostella vectensis (starlet sea anemone)
Lineage: Eukaryota; Metazoa; Cnidaria; Anthozoa; Actiniaria; Edwardsiidae
Exons: 3
Source: RefSeq, a predicted model, not a curated record